GGGAAUCUACCUAGCUCUACGGAAUAACCCAGGGAAACUUGGACUAAUACCGUAUACGUCCUUCGGGAGAAAGAUUUAUCGGAGUUGGAUGAGCCCGCGUUGGAUUAGCUAGUUGGUGGGGUAAUGGCCUACCAAGGCGACGAUCCAUAGCUGGUCUGAGAGGAUGAUCAGCCACACUGGGACUGAGACACGGCCCAGACUCCUACGGGAGGCAGCAGUGGGGAAUAUUGGACAAUGGGCGAAAGCCUGAUCCAGCCAUGCCGCGUGAGUGAUGAAGGCCCUAGGGUUGUAAAGCUCUUUCAACGGUGAAGAUAAUGACGGUAACCGUAGAAGAAGCCCCGGCUAACUUCGUGCCAGCAGCCGCGGUAAUACGAAGGGGGCUAGCGUUGUUCGGAAUUACUGGGCGUAAAGCGCACGUAGGCGGACUAUUAAGUCAGGGGUGAAAUCCCGGGGCUCAACCCCGGAACUGCCUUUGAUACUGGUAGUCUAGAGUCCGAGAGAGGUGAGUGGAAUUCCGAGUGUAGAGGUGAAAUUCGUAGAUAUUCGGAGGAAC
This 553-nucleotide ribosomal RNA is filed under the name Mesorhizobium sp. RNAcentral's name for it is "bacterial SSU rRNA". It matches the Rfam family "Bacterial small subunit ribosomal RNA", at positions 120 to 707 of the family's 1533-position model. Lineage: Bacteria; Pseudomonadati; Pseudomonadota; Alphaproteobacteria; Hyphomicrobiales; Phyllobacteriaceae. The record is from RNAcentral.